UUAACUCAAUGGGUAUCGUCCCCAACUCAUGCCAGGGGUCACACCCUGGACCUGGUUCUCUCUUUUGGUCUCCCUGUCAUGAACCUUGAGACUUUGCCUCUUGUGUUCUCUGACCACUCUCCUAUACUCUGUGAUGUUACGUUGCCAUGUCCUGUCCCUGUGUGUGAAGCUCCAGCUACUAGGUUCAGAGCCCUGGAUGCAGAAACUGUUUCAAAGUUUGUGGACUGUAUGUCUGUAAGGUUAGAGUCCUUUAACCCAGAUCCAUCUAACAUUGAUCAUUGCUCACAACACUUUGAUGUACUUUGUAAUCAGGUCCUGGGUGUGGAUAGAACCGAAGAACACACACUGCUGCAUUAAUGCAGGACAAUCCUCUGCACAGACCAUCUUUGUGAUAUGGCAUUCUUGAUUACUUGCAUGGUCGACAGUGAUGGUCGCUCAGAUGCCCACAGACAGGGGCACCGUAAAGGUGAGGGGGGGGGGGGGAUUGGUUAGGACGAUUCUAAAGGCUGUGUUGUGCCCAAACACAUUCACUGAACAAUCGUUCGUCAAUUCGUUCGUGUUUUCUUUUGUGAACGUGACCUGAACUCGUUCGUAUUUUGCCUGACGAACGUAAAAGUGAGUGCGGGUUAGGGUUAGGACUAUGAACUAUUUCGUUUUUUCAACAAUGAACUUAGUUCAACAUUUUUUUUAAUUAUACAGAAAUAUUAUAAAGAAACAAACUAGUUCAUUUUACAAUGUAUGAACUGAACUUUGAACUAGUUCGUUUUUUUAAACAAACUUUCCCAACACUGUCUAAGGGCCCACGACUGUCAGGAGGCCCAAAAAAGUUUCAAACUUGAAUUAAAAGCACUUUACUUUGCAGUAUUUUUUAAUUUAAGACAUUAAACCAACAAUAUUUUUGUCUUAAUGAAAUGUAUGUUUAUCCAGAGGUCUCUACUUUAUUUGACCCCCCCCCCUAUUCCACAAAUUGGUAGGGUCCACUCAAGCGGUUUCUCUGAUGAUAGCAGAGCUGGGAGCUGCAAAGUUUCACAGGAGGAGAGAAUGACCAGUAAGUUAAUCA
Molecule: long non-coding RNA, 1060 nt
Filed under: Nothobranchius furzeri (turquoise killifish)
Lineage: Eukaryota; Metazoa; Chordata; Actinopteri; Cyprinodontiformes; Nothobranchiidae
Description: lncRNA (ENSNFUG00015003913.1)
Source: RNAcentral